UCUCGCUGGGGCCUCCAAA
Molecule: microRNA, 19 nt
Filed under: Sus scrofa (pig)
Lineage: Eukaryota; Metazoa; Chordata; Mammalia; Artiodactyla; Suidae
Source: RNAcentral